This 1216-nucleotide ribosomal RNA is filed under the name uncultured Rhizaria. RNAcentral's name for it is "SSU rRNA". It matches the Rfam family "Eukaryotic small subunit ribosomal RNA", at positions 577 to 1804 of the family's 1831-position model. The record is from RNAcentral.
CGGUAAUUCCAGCUCCAAUAGCGUAUACUAAAGUUGUUGCAGUUAAAAAGCUCGUAGUUGGAUUUCUGCGGGGACGGAGCGGCCGGACGCAACUUGCGUCUCGAGCUAGCGCUUUCCCCGCAUCCUGCCGCGAACCGUGCUACCAUUAGCUUGGUGGCGCUGGGGAUCGGCUCGAUUACUUUGAGAAAAAUAGAGUGUUCAAAGCAGGCCACACGCCUUGAAUAAGUUAGCAUGGAAUAAUGACUAAGGACUUUGGUUCUUUUCGUUGGUGUUCGGGACUGAAGUAAUGAUUGAUAGGGACAGUUGGGGCGGUCUGUAUUCCAAAGCGAGAGGUGAAAUUCUUAGACCUUCGGAAGACAAACAGCUGCGAAAGCGUUCCGCAAGGAUGUUCCCUUUGAUCAAGAACGAAAGUUGGGGGAUCGAAGACGAUCAGAUACCGUCGUAGUCUCAACUAUAAACUAUACCAGCUAGGGAUCGGCCAACGUUUAAUUAUUCGACUUGGUCGGCACCUUAUGAGAAAUCAAAGCAUCUGGGUUCCGGGGGGAGUAUGGUCGCAAGGCUGAAACUUAAAGGAAUUGACGGAAGGGCACCACCAGGCGUGGAGCCUGUGGCUUAAUUUGACUCAACACGGGAAAACUUACCAGGUCCAGACAUAGGAAGGAUUGACAGAUUGAUAGCUCUUUCUUGAUUCUGUGGGUGGUGGUGCAUGGCCGUUUUUAGUCGGUGAAGUGAUUUGUCUGCUUAAUUGCGUUAACGGACGAGACCCCAGCCUGCUAAAUAGCGCGGCCGAGCUUUGCUCGGUGCGAGCUUCUUAGAGGGACCAUGAUGCGCGAUAGCACAAGGAAGUUUGGGGCAACAACAGGUCUGUGAUGCCCUUAGAUGUUCUGGGCCGCACACGGGCUACACUGGCGCCUGCAACGAGCAUAUCAGCUGGCCCGAGAGGGUCUUGGCUAAUCUUUGGAACCGGCGCCGUGCUUGGGAUUGACCAUUGCAAUUGUUGGUCAUGCAACGAGGAAUGCCUUGUAAACGCGAGUCAUCAGCUCGCAUUGAAUACGUCCCUGCCCUUUGUACACACCGCCCGUCGCUCCUACUGAUGAAUGUUCCGAUGAAAUUUUCGGAGAGCGCCGGAGAACGGGGCUCUGCCCUGCAGAACUGGAGGCUCAAAGUCACUUAAAUCUGAACAUUUCGAGGAAGGAGAAGUCGUAACAAGGUAACC